AGCCGCAUCAGUGGUGAUUUUUAUGCUUGGAAAUUUGAUUGUCGUCCUACAAUGGCAUCAUGGAAGCCAGAAGAAGGUAGCGUUGAUUGCUGCUCUUGGGACGGAGUUCAUUGCAAUAAGAACACUGGUCAUGUCAUCAAGCUUGACCUCUCCCAUAGCUGCCUUUUUGGUUCUAUCAACUCUAGCAGCAGCCUUUUCAAGCUUGUCCAUCUUGAGUGGCUUAAUCUUGCUUUGAAUGACUUCAAUUCCUCCGAAAUCCCACCAGAAAUCAUCAACCUUUCCAGGUUAUCAUACUUGAACCUCUCUGGAACUUCUUUAUCUGGCCAAAUACCAUCAGAAAUUCUAAAGCUCUCCAAUUUGAUGUCCCUUGAUUUAUCACUAAAUGAUGUUCCUGGUGGUAGACUUGAACUCCAGAAGCUUAGUUUCAUAAAUUUAGUCGAGAAGUUAAGCAAUCUAAAAACACUUGACCUUAGUGAUGUUUCUAUUCAGUCAACGAUACCUCAUAACAUUGCAAACCUAUCUUCUUCAACGUUUGUUUCUCUUCGAAACUGUGAAUUGCAAGGUAAUUAAAUUUUAUAUAUUUUCUCCUUAAUUAAUAUACAUGCAUGUUAUUGUUAAAUAUAUAUAUUUUACUAAAAAAUUGCCAAUUGCAAUGUUAAAUUCAUUAGUAAAAACUAUUAUUAUUUUUAAUUUUCUACUUAAGCAAUGUGCUCUUUUUUCUUUUCUCUUUUUUAACAAAUUUCAGGAAGAAUUCCAUCCUCACUUGGUAAUCUAUCCAAGCUCCUUCAUUUAGACCUUUCACUAAAUGAAUUACAGGGUGAGCUGCCUGUUUCUGUUGGUAAUCUUCAUUCAUUGGAAGAACUUGAUCUCUCUGCAAAUUUCCAUUGGAAAUCUUAGAUCAUUGGAAGCAAUAAAUGUCGCUAAGUGUAAUUUUUCAGGUCAAAUUACAUCUUCACUUAGGAAUCUUUCCCAACUUACCGCCCUUGACCUUGCUCAAAAUUCUUAUAGAGGAAUGAUAGAGUUAGAUGUUUUACUUACUAGCUGGAAAAAUUUGGAAUUUUUAGGUCUCUCAUUAAAUAGGUUGUCAGUGCUCACCAAAGCCACUUCUGAUACCACUUCACAGAAACUUAAGUAUAUAGGACUGCGUUCAUGCAAUCUUACUAAAUUUCCUAAUUUCUUGCAAAACCAACAUCAUUUGCGGUUCAUGGAUCUUUCUGACAAUAGAAUUCAGGGAAAAGUGCCUAAAUGGUUGUUAGACCCCAAUAUGCAGAAUCUCAAUGGCUUCAACUUUUCGCAUAACUUGUUAACCGGGUUUGAUCAGCAUCCUGUUGUUCUUCCCGGGAAUAAAGGUGAUUUGCUGACUUUUGAUCUUAGCUCUAAUAAUUUACAAGGACCACUCCCAGUUCCACCCCCCGGAACCAUUACCUAUCUAGCUUCAAACAAUAGCUUAACAGGGGAAAUUCCAUCGUGGAUAUGCAAUUUGAAUAUUCUUGAAAGCCUUGUUUUGUCUCACAAUAACUUAAGUGGCUUGCUUCCUCAGUGUUUAGGCAAUUUCAGCGAUGAACUUUUAGUGCUCGACUUGCAGGGGAACAACUUGUCUGGGACCAUCCCAAAUACUUUCAUUAAAGAAAGUAGAUUAAGCGUGAUUGAUUUAAGCCAUAAUCUGUUCCAGGGAAGAAUUCCAAGAUCAUUGAUCAACUGUUCAAAGUUGGAAUUUCUUGAUCUUGGGAACAACCAGAUUAGUGACACUUUUCCCUCUUGGUUAGGAACUCUUCCAAACUUGAAUGUUCUCAUCCUACGAUCCAACAUAUUUUACGGCAUUAUAGAAGAACCCAGAACUGAUUGUGGAUUUUCUAAACUCCGCAUUAUUGACCUAUCUAACAACAGAUUUACUGGAACGCUUCCAUCAAAGAGCUUCCUGUGUUGGAAUGCCAUGAAAAUUGUCAAUACAAGUGAGCUAAGAUAUCUGCAAGAUGUGCUUUCUCAGUAUGGACGAACGUCCAAUGAUAUACUUAGCACUUACGACUACUCAAUGACAAUGAACAGCAAAGGGAGAAUGAUGACAUAUAACAAGAUUCCGGAUAUCCUCGCGGGCAUUAUUCUCUCAAACAAUAGAUUUGAUGGGGCGAUUCCAGCAUCGAUUGCGAAUUUAAAGGGACUUCAAGUUCUAAACCUCCAGAACAAUAAUCUCCAAGGCCAUAUUCCGUCAUGUUUGGGCAAUCUAACAAAUUUGGAAUCAUUGGAUCUGUCAAAUAACAAGUUUUCAGGACGGAUUCCCCAACAACUGGUUGAGCUCACAUUUCUCGAAUUUUUCAAUGUCUCGAAAAAUUACCUUGCAGGGCCUAUACCACAAGGAAAUCAAUUUGCUACAUUUGACAACACUUCUUUCGACGGCAACUCAGGAUUGUGUGGAAGGCCUUUGUCCAAAGGAUGUGAGAGUGGUGAAGCUCCAACAAAUGAAGAUCAUACUGAAGGCUCGGAGGAGUCCCUAUUUUCAGGCGCAUCUGAUUGGAAAAUCAUUCUGACUGGCUAUGUGGGCGGACUUGUGGCAGGAUUGGUUCUUGGGUUCAACUUCAGCACAGGAAUUAUCAGAUGGAUUCUGGAGAAGUUGGGAAUGCAGCAAAAGGCAACAAGGGGGAGGAGGAGACGUAGAAACUGAAUGCAAUUAUAAUGUUGCUGUGAUUUUUGUUUCUAAUUCAGUCAUUGUAAUGUUGGUGUUUUUUUUUUUAAAUGGAUCCUUACAUUUCACCGUAAAAAAUAAAAAUAUUAACUGGUUUAUUAUAUAUUAAAAAAUGGUUUCUGGUUUUGUCACUUUUCAAAUUUAAAUCACUACUUGGUAUGAAUAAAAAAAUAAUAGUGUUUGGUAAUUAACAUAUCAUUAAAUGAUAAUUGUGAGGGAUUAGGUUCUACUUCUACCAUUAAAAAAUAAUAAUAAUAAUUUUGACAACAAAAGUAAAGAUAACAAAGGUUUUUAUGCAGCAACUAUGGGUUCGAAUCAUCUUUACAUGCAUCCAAGCUAAUGGUGACACUUGAAUGAUAUGGCCAAUUUAACUUUGGUUGACUUAAAACGGUACUCCUGCAUCUGUCCUUCGUCAUUCCUAUGUCAAAACCUAAGAAAUAAUUUUACAGCUAUGUUUCUGCUUCUAAUGAUCAGCAUCUAUAUUAGUGUACUGGACAAACAAGAAGCAAAUUUAUUGACCAAUUAGAUAACAAAUUAAUUAUUGAAAAUAAAAGGAAAUGUAAUAAAGCCCCGAAGAAUAAGUUUGAUAUAUCUAAUUUUAAAUUAAAAAAAAAAAGAUAUUUACACAAUAAUUAUAACUGCCUUAUAAUUAUAACUUAGAAGAAAGCUAUGCUAUUUUCUAACUGCCUUAUAUAAAUUUAUCAGGAGAACAAACAUUACAUUUUACUAUUUGUCAUGAAUCUUACAAUGACUCCGAAAGAGCUUUUGUUUUUUUUUUUUUUUAAAAAGGGAAAAUAAAAAUUAACGCCUAAUGAAGAUCAUAAUAAAAUUCAAAAAGUAUAUUAAUGAGAUUAUAAGAAAUUCAAUUUACGAUACCGAACUAAAGACUGUCUGUGUGUUACAGGAACAAUUGAAAGUUUUACGUGUCGUUCUGAAAGCUUUAAUUCACUUUACUGAAAAGUCUGGGUGAGGCUUGCCCCGGAGCUGGAAGAUUUCAAGAGCUAAGAGAUAUUGCUGUGUUUGUUUGCCUAGAAAGUGAAGAGAAAAUACUAAAAGUUUUGAUAGAAAAAUAGUGAGCCAGAUUCAUUUCAUUAAGCUACAAAAUGAACUGAGAUUACAGGGGUUUAUGUCCAGGAGCUUCUAUAAGCAACAAAAUCAUGAGCGUGACCUCGGCCGCUUGUAACAACAUUUGAGAUUUCAGGGGUUUAUAUAUACAUGUCCAGAGGCUUCUUAAGCAAAGCAACAGCCUCCAUAACUGACUGCUGACGUGGUUGAUGACUCAGCAUAUUGCUCAACAUCAAGAACCUGUUGAUGAUAAUUGAUGCAGAAAUUUUUUUUCCUCACUUAAUUUUGAAAAUAUGCUCUUUCGACAUUUGAAUAUUGCUCAAGUAUUCAUUUCCUGUUUGGAUUUGGAUAGAUCGAGGUAAAAUAUCAGAGUUUCGCAUACAAUUGGCCUCCAAUUUCUGAUCGUAAAAUUUUUCACAUAAUGAAUGACAAUACUUUUUCGUUGAUUGGGAAGAGGAGCAUCCUUCUUGCUGCAUUUCUAUUGUCAGCAUUUGGAUUUGCUGUUACCAUGAGUACGCAUACUUGUACCGUGAGAAGAACUAGAGCUGCUACCAGAAUGCAUUUUCAGAAGCGGCAAGUUUGGUCAUGUGGACCAAGGAAUGUUUAGUUGCUCAUAUAUAUAUAUAGUCUUGUGGCCCAUGAAAUGCUGGAUUGUUAGAUUUUUUUUAAAAUAAAUGUUAAAUGUAUGCGGGCUAAAUUAUUUAGAAUAUUAUUAGUGGGUGUUGUUAGUUAGGGGUUUUGCUAAUCGAUGACAGCAGGUUGAUGAAGUUAUAUUUGUUGCACAUGAUGACAAGUUUUUGUUUUAAAUUCAUUUAUUUCAUUAAAUUUAUAAACUGAAUAUUAAUAAUGUUUUGUUGCUUAAUUUAUUGAUAAUGGAAACCGUUUAUCAUUGCUGCCCAUUAGUACAUUAUGUUGAAAUUUGUCUCAACUAUAUGUCAGCUACUAAACAAAAAAUGGAUAAAUCUUGGCUUAAAUAUGAUAUAUUGUUUGAUGAGUAUGAGGCUGAUGUGAAAAAAUUUAUUAAGACUGUAGUUGAAGGAUUAUGAUUCUUUCCAAAUAAGAGUUUAUUUCUUCAACAACAACAACAACAACAACAACAACAACAACAACAACAACAACAACAACAACAACAACAACAACAACAACAACAACAACAACAACAACAACAACAACAACAACAACAACAACAACAACAACAACAACAACAACAACAACAACAACAACAACAACAACAACAACAACAACAACAACAACAACAACAACAACAACAACAACAACAACAACAACAACAACAACAACAACAACAACAACAACAACAACAACAACAAUAAUGAUAAUAUUGUUAAUAAUGAUAAAUUAAUUAUUUUUAUUAAUUAUUAAUACUAUGGGUAUUUUGGUAAAUUGAUUCUCAUUCCCUUUUUUCAUUCGCAUUUAUUUUGCCAAGUAAACACAUUAAUGACAUUCCAACAUAUUCCUAUUACAGCCCAUUCCCAUUCCUUGAAGUAAACACACUAUAAAUGAGCGACUCUAACCAAAUAUUGAGUUGAACCAACCCCUAUUAAAGGCAUUUUCAACAACUAGAAUGAAAGCAAAUAAAUAAAUUUUUUAAUUAAAUUAUUAAUUAAUAGUACAAUAACCCAAAAUUAAAAAUAUGUUUUCUUUGAUUAAUUUUAAAAAAAAAAUUCAAACUGUAAAACUAGACAUCCACAUCUAUUCCAUUAAUCCGUUAUCUAAUUAGCUAGUUAGGUACUAUUUUAGUUAGUUUAGAAAGUGUACUGUUUGAUCAUUAACAUCGUAAACUUGAUGAAAUCGUAAUAAUUACGUAGAAGUAUUGAAAGUGAGAAAUUCAAUACAAUAAAAUUUAAAACAAAUACCUUUUUCUUACUCAUGUGACUAUGUGAGCAGGAUUGAACCUUUAAAUUAGUUCAAGAGAUUUUACUGGUUUAAGUAGGAGCACUCAUUCUAGUUAUAAACAUUCCAUAAAUAUUAUGAUUGUUUUAAUGGAACUUAUUUUAGGAUGAGAACAUUCAAGUCUUUUUGACAAUUUAAAUAAAAAAUUAUGUUUUUGGCCAAUAAUUACUAUAAUAUGGAAAUCUGAUAGCUAGUGCAACAAUUAGGGAUAACUGGUUCUACCCUUUUCUUUUACUUUAAUCCUCCUUAAUUACUCGAGGAAGAGUAGAGAGUUCAAGAAAAUGCAGAGACAUCGGACAAAUUAGAAAUCUAAUCCUAAAUGUGUAGGACAACAUUUGUCCAUGAGGUUCCUUAAAACGCAACUUUUGUGCAGUGAAAUUAAAACGGAUGGCGGAAGCUCUAGAAACCUCGGAUAGGCUUCAUUCAAAAAUGAAAAUCAAGAGGAAAGAUUGAAGUUUAAUUACUUCACUUGUAGUUUCAAAAAUGACUUUGUGAAGUAGGAGAAAAUGACUGAAAACAGCAAGCUACGAACACUGUCCAGAAAAUAAACCUCUGAACGAACAGCUUCUGUUUUGCCACGAUUUGAGAUCCUUAAAGCACCCCAAUUGUGAUGCCUCUAGUUAGUCCACACUUAGAAAUGUUCUAGGAGUUCAUAGGAUUUGGAAUCACGAAAUUUCGUUUAGAAAUGAGAGUGAUAAUGAGGAAACAUGAAUGCUAGUUCAUGAUGAUUCAUUCCACCAAAUAAAGCCACCACUAUCUUUUAGAACUAAGAAAGAAUUUUCUGACACGACAUAUGAUUGAUACUCGAAGACUUCUAAUUCUAGUCUUGAGUAUUUAUCCGCCGGCCUUGAUCGUCUGGAUAAUGAUUUAUGACCGACCCACCCACUAAGCCAUUAUUUAUUGAAUGUGAUCUUAUCACUUCAAUAAUUUAUUUAAUCAAAUAAAUAAAUAACUAAAUUAAUUAAGUUUAGAGGAAAAUUUUUGAGUUGUAGUGAAAAGUCAUCAAGCCAAUCACAUAAACUCGAGUAUGCAGAACAUGUUCUAAUGCUUUCUCUUAAUCCAUAUUAGGUCCAAUAAAAGUCCAAAAUUCUAAACCCAAAAUUGGUCUAGAAGUCCAUAAUUAUAUAUGAACCGGAACAUGUCCAAAAUGGUCAUUUUACGUGCUUGAUAUUAUACAUAAUGUUUAAUUGAGGAUUUAUGAAAUUUAUUUUGUUCCUUAAACUAUUUACGGAACAUCUAAAUUUCUAUCUUAAAUCAUAUUUAAGAUAUAUUUAUAUAUAUAUAUAUAUUCAUUCUUAAUGAAUUAUAAUAUAAAUAUCGAUUUUCCUAAAAUUAGGAAAUUUAACUUCUCAUUUUCUAGUAACUCCUUUUUUCAUUUCUAUUUGGUGUGUGACUUUUUAGGUUCUUUGUUAUAAGGUAGUAGAACUAUUUUACUGAUAACUCUUUAUGCAUUAAAUGAUGCUAAACCCUUUAGUCAUCAAAUAGAACUUUUCUAAUGACCUUAAGAUGCAUUGCUAAUACGCUUUACCAAUAUUAAUCUUAAGGUUUCUACAAGUCAUGAGUGACACCUAGCAGUAUUUCACAACCAUCCAAAUAACAAGAAUUGUUGGAUCUAUAGAACCUUUUCCAUUGUAUCCCUAUGUCUUGGUCUCUCUUGGUCUCUUCAUCAUCCAUGUCCAGAGAAAAGCACGCCUUACAGUUUAUUAUGUUAAGCAGUUAUGCUUUAUCUCAAAAUCAAAUAAUAAAAAAUAAAUAUUAUUAAGACUAACUUUUGUUGACUUAAAAAAAUAAAAAAAGAGUCCAAUGACUAAAAUGUUUGAAUUGCUGCAAUUUGCCUAUAAAAGCAAACCAAGAUCCUUAAAUUUCUUCACAUCUACAAAGUUAAACAAAUUUAAUUUUUUAGAAAACUAUGGGUUUAUCCUCCAUAUGUUUAUUCACAAUAUUCAUACGGUUAGUUUUUCCUUUCUUUUUCUUUAAUUUUACAAUUGCUAACUUCACUGCUUCUUCUAUGCCGCCACUCUGCCAUGAUGAUGAGCGCUCUGCUUUGUUGCAAUUCAAAGAAAACCGCAUCAGUGGUGAUUUUUAUGCUUGGAAAUUUGACUGUCAUCCUACAAUGGCAUCAUGGAAGCCAGAAGAAGGUAACGUUGAUUGCUGCUCUUGGGACGGAGUUCAUUGCAAUAAGAACACUGGUCAUGUCAUCAAGCUUGACCUCUCCCAUAGCUGCCUUUUUGGUUCUAUCAACUCUAGCAGCAGCCUUUUCAAGCUUGUCCAUCUUGAGUGGCUUAAUCUUGCUUUGAAUGACUUCAAUUCCUCCGAAAUCCCACCAGAAAUCAUCAACCUUUCCAGGUUAUCAUACUUGAACCUCUCUGGAACUUCUUUAUCUGGCCAAAUACCAUCAGAAAUUCUAAAGCUCUCCAAUUUGGUGUCCC
RNAcentral lists this long non-coding RNA (8085 nucleotides) under Citrus sinensis (sweet orange). Its description in RNAcentral is "long non-coding RNA (CSIN_LNC001155)". The record is from RNAcentral. Lineage: Eukaryota; Viridiplantae; Streptophyta; Magnoliopsida; Sapindales; Rutaceae.